GACGAACGCUGGCGGCGUGCUUAACACAUGCAAGUCGAACGGAAAGGCCCUGCCUUUGUGGGGUGCUCGAGUGGCGAACGGGUGAGUAACACGUGAGUAACCUGCCCUUGACUUUGGGAUAACUUCAGGAAACUGGGGCUAAUACCGGAUAGGAGCUCCUGCUGCAUGGUGGGGGUUGGAAAGUUUCGGCAGUUGGGGAUGGACUCGCGGCUUAUCAGCUUGUUGGUGGGGUAGUGGCUUACCAAGGCUUUGACGGGUAGCCGGCCUGAGAGGGUGACCGGCCACAUUGGGACUGAGAUACGGCCCAGACUCCUACGGGAGGCAGCAGUGGGGAAUAUUGCACAAUGGGCGGAAGCCUGAUGCAGCAACGCCGCGUGCGGGAUGACGGCCUUCGGGUUGUAAACCGCUUUCGCCUGUGACGAAGCGUGAGUGACGGUAAUGGGUAAAGAAGCACCGGCUAACUACGUG
This 468-nucleotide ribosomal RNA is filed under the name uncultured bacterium. RNAcentral's name for it is "partial 16S ribosomal RNA". It matches the Rfam family "Bacterial small subunit ribosomal RNA", at positions 28 to 507 of the family's 1533-position model. The record is from RNAcentral.